Molecule: microRNA precursor, 98 nt
Filed under: Pan paniscus (pygmy chimpanzee)
Lineage: Eukaryota; Metazoa; Chordata; Mammalia; Primates; Hominidae
Also listed under: 1 other name
Description: mir-548 microRNA precursor family
Rfam family: mir-548 microRNA precursor family
Source: Rfam by way of RNAcentral
UAUUAGGUUGGCGCAAAAGUAAUUGCGGUUUUUGCCAUCACUUUUUGUCAUCACUUUUUGAUGGCAAAAACUGCAAUUACUUUUGCGCCAACCUAAUA